GUUCAGGCUCUCCUGUUGAAUCAGGGUCCUGCAAAAACUGCUGAUAUUCCCUGGGUUGCUUUGAUUGGUCAGUCAGUUUCAAUAGCUUCUGCACAGUCUGGAUCUGAGAGCUCAUUGGAAACUGCAUGGAAAGCAGAGAGUGAAAGUCUUAAAUCGAUACUGACUGGAGCCCCUCAAAGUAAGCUAGGCAGAAUAGCUUUGGUGGAUGUUCUGGCACAUCAGAUUCGCAAGCGUAUGAAAGUUCGGCUACCGAACCUCAUUUCUGGGUUACAAGGGAAGUCUCAAAUAGUUCAGGAUGAAUUAGUAAGGCUUGGGGAGCAGAUGGUUGAAAGUGCUGAAGGCACAAGGGCUCUUGCAUUGGAACUUUGCCGUGAGUUUGAGGAUAAAUUUCUUCAACACAUUACAACUGGUGAGGGUGCCGGUUGGAAAGUUGUUGCAAGUUUUGAGGGAAAUUUCCCUAAUAGGAUCAAGCAGCUUCCUUUGGACAGACAUUUUGAUAUCAACAAUGUCAAGAGGAUUGUAUUAGAAGCGGAUGGUUAUCAACCAUAUCUCAUAUCUCCUGAAAAGGGUUUGAGAUCCUUGAUAAAAGGAGUUCUUGAGCUUGCAAAAGAGCCAUCACGUCUUUG
This 626-nucleotide unclassified non-coding RNA is filed under the name Hevea brasiliensis (rubber tree). Lineage: Eukaryota; Viridiplantae; Streptophyta; Magnoliopsida; Malpighiales; Euphorbiaceae. The record is from RNAcentral.